Long non-coding RNA from Ruditapes philippinarum (Manila clam), 3445 nucleotides. RefSeq lists it as uncharacterized. The transcript is spliced from 3 exons. The record is from RefSeq and is a predicted model, not a curated record. Lineage: Eukaryota; Metazoa; Mollusca; Bivalvia; Venerida; Veneridae.
CUACAGAAAAAACGUUGUUUAUCCCUUACAGUCUUACUUCCCAAAAUUGAACUUUCAGUAACUCGAUUGCCUUCUGACAACAGCUAUUACAGAAGAAAGUACAUGUAAACUUGGAAGAUUCACAUGUAUUUAAGAACAGUGGAAGAUAAUGGGAUUGAUUCUUAUAAGGAACAGAUUUGUAAUUAUAUUCUUAAGAGAUUGAAUGGCAAAAUCCAGUUUGAAAGUAGUCAUGGAAAAGAAAAGACAACCUUAUACAUAUUACAUGAUGGUCUAUUUCACGGGAAAGAACAGGGAGCAUUGGAAAUGUGCAAUUAAAAAACAGUCUUUGGUUGACUGCAAAAUUUUGACAUGAUACAAAACAGGAUAGAUCAAGUUCUUGAACUGGAGUUGUUAAACUGGAGUCACAAUAGGAAAACCUACAAAUAAACCAAUUACUCAACUUUUUGUAUGUAACACCAGCAAGGAGUUGAGUACAGGAGUAUUUCAACAGAGGUAGGACAUGUGACUUUUUAAGUUGCUUAAGUGAUUUACUGAAAUAUAUGCUGAAACACUUAGACUGUAACAGAAAGCUGGAUGCUCAAAUUAAUUUAAUGAUAUACAUUUGUAUAGACAGUAACAAUGUCAUCUGUCAGUAACCAAAUACUUCAUGUUCAAAUUUAUAGACUGAAACUAAGGUCAGCAACAGAGCAAAUAGAUAGAAAUUCAAGAUGGACUAUCUUCAUAGGAACAGAAAACUUUGUGUCCAGGUUGAUUAACUGUAAUCUAAGCAGAAAAAAAAACAUUAACAAAAUGCUGUGUGUCCAGAACAGCUUUGCUUUGUAACAGAACACUGAAAUUUAUAAACUGAAAGCUAGGAUAGAACAUUUCAAGAGUAAGAGACAUUCAAAGUAAUCAUUAACAUUUAAUGAGGUACAUUUUAUCAGUAUUACUACACUAGGUGUUCAAGCCGAUGUACUUAAAUCUAGGAUGGAAACUGUAAGCUAGGAGAGAACAUUUCAAGAGUAACGGACAUUCAAAGUAAUAAAUAAAGUUUAAUGAGGUACAUUUAAUCCGUAAUACUACUCUAAGUGUUCAAGCUGAUGUACUUAAAUCUAGGAUGGAACCAAACUAAAAGCUAGGAGGGGACAAUUCAAGAGUAAUGGACAUUCAAAGUAAUCAAUAAAGUUUAAUGAGGUACACUAUCAGUAUUACUACACUAGGUGUUCAAGCUUAUGUACUUAAAUCUAGGAUGGAAACGGAAAGAUAUGAGGGAACAUUUAUAGAGUAACAGACAUUAAAAAAUAAUCAAUGAAAGUUUCAUGAGGUACAUUUUAUCAGUAACAGUGUCAUGCUGAUGCACUUUAAUAUAGAAUGGAACCAAACUAAAAGCUUGAAGCAAAUAUUUCAAGAGUACAUGUAAUAGACACUCAAUGUAAUCAUCUAAAAUGUGUUGCGGAAUAUGUAAAAUCUGAAAUCUUAUUAGGAAUUUUUCAUUAGUUAAAUAUUCAUUUGGGAUAAACUGGCAACAAGAUGGAACAAUUGUGACUGAAAACAAGUAUCUGAAAAUAGAAGAAAACAGGGAACAGGAACAAUUUUGGAAAAAAAGCUAUAUUGUGAUUGACUUUAACAGGUGCAAUAAUUCCUUUUUAUAAAGAAGAAGAGAAAAGGUAGGAUUGUUCAGAUUUAUAAAAAAAAUGGGGCAAUGAAAUGAUGACCUCCAUAUUCUGUACUUGUUAGAUUGUUACUGCAUGCUCUAAGUUAAGUUGAGGAUCCGAAAUAUUUGCAAAAAGAAGUUGAUUUAAAUGAGCUAAAAAAAUUAAAGAUUCCAAAGCCAAACAAAAGAAAACAACAAAAAAACUCAAUUGUAUUUAAAUUAUAGAAAGUAUGAAAAAUUCUUCAGAUUUGCAAAAAUUUCUGAUUCAAUUUUUAGUUUAUUGUAUACAUGUAUUUCCAAUUUUGUCAAAAGUAACAUUCUGGUUUUUUUUUUAUAAAACUAUCUGUUAUUGAAGUAAGUGAGACUGUAACUACCCUCUAUAUAUGACACAAAUAUUGUAUAAAGGUGAUGAAGUACUAAUGGAGAAUGAUAUCAUAACCAGAUUUUGGAACAGUUUUUAAUGAAAAUAUUGCAGAACUUUUUAUUCAUUAAUCAAUUUUUAAUGAGUGCAAGUCUUGAUAACAUCUCAUUAAUCAUGGUGUGAUGUGGUUGAGAAUAAAAGAUAAAUUAAUUGAUAGAUUAAAUUUCUUACUUGAAUCUCACUUAAUAAUUUGGUGCUGAAUCUUAAACACUAUCAUAUAUAUCUACUGGUCAUGGUAUUCUAGAUGGCACACAUCCUUACACAAGUGCUCAUUGUAUAAUGUACACCACACAACCAUGAACAGUCCCUAUUUUUAUCUCAUGUACUUUUGCAAGGUACUUGCAGGUUGUGCAAUGUCAAGGAAGUUUAAUAGUAACAUGCACUUCCAGCAAGUGGUUCGCACGUUUUCAGGACAGUAGUAACCUGUCUCUUCUAAAUAUAUCUGCCAAUAGACUGUGACUUACUGCAGUUCUUAAGUCCAGGUGGUGGUACUGUUUCUUCUUUGUUACCAAAGCUGACUUUCUGGUAUAAAUCAAUGACUACAGUGGCACAUUUCAACACUGUCCCGCCUUUCUCUGUAUAUCAAUCCACAGGCAGGGGAACUCUUUAUACCAAUCAACUUUGAACUCAGGCUUUCUGGUUUCCUUUCCAUACUGGCAUUUUCUCAACUUCAUCAAUUAUAACUUUUUUUGCAGUGGUACAUAAUGAUGACACUAAAAUUAAUAUAGGCCUGUUUCUCAUUAUAAAGACAAAAGGACUUAAAGUGAAUAAUUAUGUUAAAAGUAUUUAGUACACUACAAGACAGCAAACUGUAAAAGAAUGAUAUAUGAAAAGUGUUGGUGAAUUCUUUAUAAUCAUACAUGAUAAAUUGUUAUAGAAAAAACUAUCAUCAUAUAAAUGUUUAUACUUAAUCAACAUUUAAUUUUUCAAAAAUCUAUAAAUCAUAAGAAUAUCCAAAAUUUGGAAGUCAGAGACUACAAGAUAUGAGACAUUGGAAGUCACAUUAUAUAAGAAAAGAAAGAGAAGUAUUAUAGUUUGGAAGUCACAAGCCAAGAUCAAAGAGAAAAUGACUCCAACUCUUCCAUCAACCAAAGCCCUGUAAUAUUAAUAAUGUAGUAUAUUUACUGUAAGUAAAGGCACUACAAGACAUUGUCACUACAAGACAUUGUGAUCAUUUGCACCUUCAUUUGAUAAAUAGGCUCUGUCAGUGGUAACUUUGCAUUUGAGGAAAUUUCCACAGAUGUGACAUUUUAGAACUCUUAGUCAUAGUCAGGCUGUGUGGUAUGCACAUUGUGACAUCCAGUAAAUAUUUCUUGAACUUGGGUUACAACAUUUGUGGGAUUUCCACUGUCCAUUUCUCUAUGUAUAAGUGUUGAUUCAUUUUCCGUGGU